CAAAAUGUAGCUUCAGUUAAAGCCUGGGCGAAACUCGACCGCUUCUCUCCUCCCUGUGUUCUCCUCUCGUGUGAUAUGGUAGCAAAAGAAAUCAUUAUCAAGUAAUAAAAUGCACUUCGGAUGCCUUGUAAAUCUUCAAGCGAGAUAAAAGUUUGCAACUUUGCAUAGAGAGCUUUAUAUAGUUGAUUACCUUGGCACAAGAGAACCCAGUGACAAGGCUGUGCUGCUUCAUUGUCUGAGAUCG
This 244-nucleotide long non-coding RNA is filed under the name Linum usitatissimum (flax). RNAcentral describes it as "long non-coding RNA (LUSI_LNC000583)". Lineage: Eukaryota; Viridiplantae; Streptophyta; Magnoliopsida; Malpighiales; Linaceae. The record is from RNAcentral.